ACUUAUAUUCUGUAGCAAGGUUAACCGAAUAGGGGAGCCGAAGGGAAACCGAGUCUUAACCGGGCGUUAAGUUGCAGGGUAUAGACCCGAAACCCGGUGAUCUAGCCAUGGGCAGGUUGAAGGUUGGGUAACACUAACUGGAGGACCGAACCGACUAAUGUUGAAAAAUUAGCGGAUGACUUGUGGCUGGGGGUGAAAGGCCAAUCAAACCGGGAGAUAGCUGGUUCUCCCCGAAAGCUAUUUAGGUAGCGCCUCGUGAAUUCAUCUCCGGGGGUAGAGCACUGUUUCGGCAAGGGGGUCAUCCCGACUUACCAACCCGAUGCAAACUGCGAAUACCGGAGAAUGUUAUCACGGGAGACACACGGCGGGUGCUAACGUCCGUCGUGAAGAGGGAAACAACCCAGACCGCCAGCUAAGGUCCCAAAGUCAUGGUUAAGUGGGAAACGAUGUGGGAAGGCCCAGACAGCCAGGAUGUUGGCUUAGAAGCAGCCAUCAUUUAAAGAAAGCGUAAUAGCUCACUGGUCGAGUCGGCCUGCGCGGAAGAUGUAACGGGGCUAAACCAUGCACCGAAGCUGCGGCAGCGACACUGUGUGUUGUUGGGUAGGGGAGCGUUCUGUAAGCCUGUGAAGGUGUACUGUGAGGUAUGCUGGAGGUAUCAGAAGUGCGAAUGCUGACAUAAGUAACGAUAAAGCGGGUGAAAAGCCCGCUCGCCGGAAGACCAAGGGUUCCUGUCCAACGUUAAUCGGGGCAGGGUGAGUCGACCCCUAAGGCGAGGCCGAAAGGCGUAGUCGAUGGGAAACAGGUUAAUAUUCCUGUACUUGGUGUUACUGCGAAGGGGGGACGGAGAAGGCUAUGUUGGCCGGGCGACGGUUGUCCCGGUUUAAGCGUGUAGGCUGGUUUUCCAGGCAAAUCCGGAAAAUCAAGGCUGAGGCGUGAUGACGAGGCACUACGGUGCUGAAGCAACAAAUGCCCUGCUUCCAGGAAAAGCCUCUAAGCAUCAGGUAACAUCAAAUCGUACCCCAAACCGACACAGGUGGUCAGGUAGAGAAUACCAAGGCGCUUGAGAGAACUCGGGUGAAGGAACUAGGCAAAAUGGUGCCGUAACUUCGGGAGAAGGCACGCUGAUAUGUAGGUGAAGUCCCUCGCGGAUGGAGCUGAAAUCAGUCGAAGAUACCAGCUGGCUGCAACUGUUUAUUAAAAACACAGCACUGUGCAAACACGAAAGUGGACGUAUACGGUGUGACGCCUGCCCGGUGCCGGAAGGUUAAUUGAUGGGGUCAGCGCAAGCGAAGCUCUUGAUCGAAGCCCCGGUAAACGGCGGCCGUAACUAUAACGGUCCUAAGGUAGCGAAAUUCCUUGUCGGGUAAGUUCCGACCUGCACGAAUGGCGUAAUGAUGGCCAGGCUGUCUCCACCCGAGACUCAGUGAAAUUGAACUCGCUGUGAAGAUGCAGUGUACCCGCGGCAAGACGGAAAGACCCCGUGAACCUUUACUAUAGCUUGACACUGAACAUUGAGCCUUGAUGUGUAGGAUAGGUGGGAGGCUUUGAAGUGUGGACGCCAGUCUGCAUGGAGCCGACCUUGAAAUACCACCCUUUAAUGUUUGAUGUUCUAACGUGGACCCGUGAUCCGGGUUGCGGACAGUGUCUGGUGGGUAGUUUGACUGGGGCGGUCUCCUCCUAAAGAGUAACGGAGGAGCACGAAGGUUGGCUAAUCCUGGUCGGACAUCAGGAGGUUAGUGCAAUGGCAUAAGCCAGCUUGACUGCGAGCGUGACGGCGCGAGCAGGUGCGAAAGCAGGUCAUAGUGAUCCGGUGGUUCUGAAUGGAAGGGCCAUCGCUCAACGGAUAAAAGGUACUCCGGGGAUAACAGGCUGAUACCGCCCAAGAGUUCAUAUCGACGGCGGUGUUUGGCACCUCGAUGUCGGCUCAUCACAUCCUGGGGCUGAAGUAGGUCCCAAGGGUAUGGCUGUUCGCCAUUUAAAGUGGUACGCGAGCUGGGUUUAGAACGUCGUGAGACAGUUCGGUCCCUAUCUGCCGUGGGCGCUGGAGAACUGAGGGGGGCUGCUCCUAGUACGAGAGGACCGGAGUGGACGCAUCACUGGUGUUCGGGUUGUCAUGCCAAUGGCACUGCCCGGUAGCUAAAUGCGGAAGAGAUAAGUGCUGAAAGCAUCUAAGCACGAAACUUGCCCCGAGAUGAGUUCUCCCUGACCCUUUAAGGGUCCUGAAGGAACGUUGAAGACGACGACGUUGAUAGGCCGGGUGUGUAAGCGCAGCGAUGCGUUGAGCUAACCGGUACUAAUGAACCGUGAGGCUUAACCUU
This 2318-nucleotide ribosomal RNA is filed under the name Escherichia coli. Its description in RNAcentral is "partial 23S ribosomal RNA". It matches the Rfam family "Bacterial large subunit ribosomal RNA", at positions 626 to 2925 of the family's 2925-position model. The record is from RNAcentral. Lineage: Bacteria; Pseudomonadati; Pseudomonadota; Gammaproteobacteria; Enterobacterales; Enterobacteriaceae.